GAGGGUAUAGGUCAGUGGUAGAGCACAUGCUUAGCAUGCAUGAUGUCCUGGGUUCAAUCCCCAGUACUUCCA
This 72-nucleotide transfer RNA is filed under the name Camelus ferus (Wild Bactrian camel). It matches the Rfam family "tRNA". Rfam says of the family: Transfer RNA (tRNA) molecules are approximately 80 nucleotides in length. Their secondary structure includes four short double-helical elements and three loops (D, anti-codon, and T loops). The record is from Rfam by way of RNAcentral. Lineage: Eukaryota; Metazoa; Chordata; Mammalia; Artiodactyla; Camelidae.